This 457-nucleotide RNase P RNA is filed under the name human gut metagenome. RNAcentral describes it as "Bacterial RNase P class A". It matches the Rfam family "Bacterial RNase P class A". From Rfam's summary of the family: Ribonuclease P (RNase P) is a ubiquitous endoribonuclease, found in archaea, bacteria and eukarya as well as chloroplasts and mitochondria. The record is from RNAcentral.
GAGCUGAGCGGUCGCGUGAUAUUAUGCCGAAAGGUCGUAUCAUGAGGAAAGUCCGGGCUCCACAGGACAGGAUAACGGAUAACGUCCGCCGAAGGUGACUUCAGGGAAAGUGCAACAGAAAUAAACCGGAUGCUUAUAUGUCCGCGAAUAAUAUCUGAGGAUGAUAUUUGAUUAUACUAUCCAAGGAUAUAGGAUGUUUGCGUCUAAGGAUGGAAAGGCGAGGUAAGAGCUCACCGGCACACUGGCGACUUUGUGCAAAUGUAAACCCUAUCCGGAGCAACACCGUAUGUGAAAGCAGACCGCCUUCAAUUGGUCUGAUGCCGGUCCGGCAGAAUUUUGCGGGUGGCAUGAGCGCCGCGGUAACACGGCGCCGAGACAGAUGACCGCUUCAGGCGUUCAAAGCGUUAAGGAUAUAAUCGUUUCGGACGCCGGACAGAACCCGGCUUAUAGGCUCAGU